GGCAGCAGUGGGGAAUAUUGGACAAUGGGCGAAAGCCUGAUCCAGCCAUGCCGUGUGUGUGAAGAAGGUCUUCGGAUUGUAAAGCACUUUAAGUUGGGAGGAAGGGUUGUAGAUUAAUACUCUGCAAUUUUGACGUUACCGACAGAAUAAGCACCGGCUAACUUCGUGCCAGCAGCCGCG
This 180-nucleotide ribosomal RNA is filed under the name BTEX-degrading bacterium enrichment culture. RNAcentral describes it as "partial 16S ribosomal RNA". It matches the Rfam family "Bacterial small subunit ribosomal RNA", at positions 347 to 519 of the family's 1533-position model. The record is from RNAcentral.